This is a non-coding RNA of Cinara cedri, 453 nucleotides long. Lineage: Eukaryota; Metazoa; Arthropoda; Insecta; Hemiptera; Aphididae. The record is from the annotation of a GenBank genome assembly.
UUAUAAGCUAUAAAAUAAAAGUUCAAUAUCAUUUUUUUUUUUUUUUUGAUAAUGAAGCACUGGUAACGUUGAGUUACAUGUCGUCAUAACUUUCAUUUGCCGUUGUCUCGUAACACACAGGUACUAUUGUGUCCAGUAGCAAUCCGUAAGCUACACCUGUCAUCACCGGGAAAGAUUAUUGCUCCUCAUAAUUUAGAGACCUGUUAUGGUCCCAAAUAGUAUUACUUGUUAGGUUUUCUAAUGGCCAAUUGAUUGCACUGGCAAAAUUUUGCUUUACCAUAUCAAGUGGCGUGCUAGCUAUAUUGACACUAAUAGAUGCAUUUAAAUCUUUAAAUAAUAUAAUAAUGAUAAACAUUUAAGAAUAUUGUAAUAUUUCAUGUUAUAGUCAAGUUUUCCAUAAAAUAUUUUUUUUUUUUCAAAAAAAUGGUUUUUAUAGAUUAUAUAGAUUAUUUU